AUUGAACGCUGGCGGCAGGCCUAACACAUGCAAGUCGAGCGGGUGGGCGGACGGGUGCGUGAUGCCUAUGAAUCUGACUGGGCGUGGGGGAUGGCGACCGCAAACGGGCGCUAAUACCGCAUACUAUCAGAUGAGCCUGGGUCGGAUUAGCUAGUUCGUGGGGUAAGGGCCUAACAAGGCGACGAUCCGUAACUGGUCUGAGAGGAUGAGCAGUCACACUGGAACUGAGACACGGUCCAGACGCCUACGGGAGGCAGCAGUGGGGAAUAUUGGACAAUGGGCGAAAGCCUGAUGCAGCCAUGCCGCGUGUGUGAAGAAGGUCUUCGGAUUGUAAAGCACUUUAAGUGGGGAGGCGUUACCAACAGAAGAAGCACCGGCUAACUUCGUGCCAGCAGCCGCGGUAAUUC
RNAcentral lists this ribosomal RNA (407 nucleotides) under uncultured bacterium. RNAcentral describes it as "partial 16S ribosomal RNA". It matches the Rfam family "Bacterial small subunit ribosomal RNA", at positions 30 to 526 of the family's 1533-position model. The record is from RNAcentral.